AACAGGCGAAGAAGGACGCGGCAAGCUGCGAAAAGCCUCGGGAAGCUGCAAGCAAGCGAUGAUCCGGGGAUAUCCGAAUGGGGUAACCUGAUCGAGGCAAUACUCGAUCGUUCAUACCUGAAUACAUAGGGUAUGAAACGCGAAACCCGCUGAAGUGAAACAUCUCAGUAAGCGGAGGAAAAGAAAGAGAAAUCGAUUCCGUAAGUAGUGGCGAGCGAAAGCGGAUGGAGCCCAAACCGAAGGUAUUCCUUCGGGGUUGUAGGACCACGUCAUAUUCGACCAUACUGGAUAGUAGAACAGCCUGGAAAGGCUGGCCGGAGAAGGUGAAAGCCCUGUAGACGAAAUCCAGAGUGGGAAUUAGUGGCAUCCUGAGUAAUACAUCACACGUGGAACGAUGUAUGAACCCGCGCGGACCACCGCGCAAGGCUAAAUACUAGUUGGCGACCGAUAGUGAACAAGUACCGUGAGGGAAAGGUGAAAAGAACCGCUGUGAGCGGAGUGAAAUAGAACCUGAAACCGUAUGUCUACAAAGUGUCAGAGCAGAGCAAUCUGCGAUGGCGUGCCUUUUGUUUAAUGAGUCUGCGAGUCAGUGUUUGUGGCAAGACUAAGGGCUUCCGGCCCGGAGUCGCAGCGAAAGCAAGUCCGAACAGGGCGCAAUAAGUCGCAGGUACUGGACCCGAAGCGGAGGUGACCUACCCUUGGCCAGGUUGAAGCAUGGGUAAAACCAUGUGGAGGACCGAACAGGUGAACGUUGAAAAGUUCUCUGAUGAGCUGAGGGUAGGAGUGAAAGGCUAAUCAAACCCCGUGAUAGCUGGUUCUCUUCGAAAUGCAUUUAGGUGCAGCGUCACGUGCUGAUGCGCGGGGGUAGAGCACUGACAAGGCUAGGGGGCACACCCGCUUACCAAACCUUAUCAAACUCCGAAUACCGUGCAAUGGAACGUGGCAGUGAGACAGUGGGGGAUAAGCUUCAUUGUCGAGAGGGAAACAACCCAGACCAGCAGCUAAGGUGCCUAAAUAACGCUCAGUGGAAAGGAUGUGGGAUUACACAGACAGUGAGGAUGUUGGCUUAGAAGCAGCCACCAUUUAAAAAAUGCGUAAUAGCUUACUCAUCGAGUGAUCCUGCGCCGAAAAUGAUUGGCGAUCAAGCGUUAUACCGAAGCUCUGGACUUUGCCGCAAGGCAGAGUGGUAGAAGAGCGUUGCAUGCGCGUCGAAGGGCGAUGGCGACUGACCCUGGAGCACAUGCAAGUGAGUAUGCAGACAUGAGUAACGUUAAGCCGGGUGAAAUCCCCGGCCGCCGUAAACCCGAGGUUUCCAGGGCAACGUGUUUCGUCCCUGGGUUAGCCGGGACCUAAGCCGAGGCCGAGAGGCGUAGGCGAUGGACAUCAGGUUAAUAAUCCUGAGCUCGCAACCCUUAAACUGGGGGGACGCAUGAGAAAAGAUGACUAGGUUAUUGAAUUCCGAGUUGAGUCUACGGACUCAGCGCAUCAUUGGAUCGAGUGCCAAGAAAAGCCCCAGCGUAUGCUAAGCGACCCGUACCGCAAACCGACACAGGUGGGUGGGUAGAAUAUACCAAGGCGUAAGAGUGAAACCUGGUUAAGGAACUCGGCAAAUUAGCCCCGUAACUUCGGAAGAAGGGGUGCCUGCAGCGAUGCAGGCCGCAGAGAAAUGGCCCAACCGACUGUUUAUCAAAAACACAGCACUCUGCAAAGACGCAAGUCGAAGUAUAGGGUGUGACACGUGACCAAUGCCGAAAGAUUAAGGCAAGGGGUUAGCCGCAAGGCGAAGCUCUAAACCCAAGUCCCGGUGAAUGUCGGCCGUAACUAUAACGGUCCUAAGGUAGCGAAAUUCCUUGUCGGGUAAGUUCCGACCUGCACGAAUGGUGUAAUGAUCCGGACGCUGUCUCAACCAUGAGCUCAGUGAAAUUGUAGUAUCGGUGAAGAUGCCGAUUACCCGCGAUGGGACGAAAAGACCCCGUGAACCUUUACUACAGCUUAGCAUUGACCUUGGUCAUCCGAUGUGUAGGAUAGGCCGGAGGCUUCGAAGCGGGAGCGCCAGCUUUCGUGGAGCCAUCCUUGAAAUACGGCCCUUUGGCUGUCUGAGGUCUAACGCGUGAAACGCGGACACUGCUUGGUGGGUAGUUUGACUGGGGUGGUCGCCUCCAAAAGCGUAACGGAGGCUUCCAAAGGUGCCCUCGGGUCGAUUGGUAACCGACCUCAAAGAGUGCAAUGGCAUAAGGGCGCUUGACUGGGAGGCAGACAUGCCGAGCAGGCAGGAAACUGGGGCAUAGUGAUCCGGCGGAUGUGUAUGGAAACUCCGUCGCUCAAAGGAUAAAAGGUACUCCGGGGAUAACAGGCUGAUCCCCCCCAAGAGCUCAUAUCGACGGGGUGGUUUGGCACCUCGAUGUCGGCUCGUCACAUCCUGGGGCUGGAGAAGGUCCCAAGGGUUGGGCUGUUCGCCCAUUAAAGUGGCACGCGAGCUGGGUUCAGAACGUCGUGAGACAGUUCGGUCUCUAUCUAUCGUGGGCGUGGGAGUUUUGAGUGGUGCCGUCACUAGUACGAGAGGACCGUGAUGGACAGACCUCCGGUUUACCAGUUGUGCCGCCAGGCGCACCGCUGGGUAUCUGAGUCUGGAUUGGAUAAGCGCUGAAAGCAUCUAAGUGCGAAGCCAGCCGCAAGAUGAGAACUCCAUUGAGGGUCGUCAGAGACGAUGACGUUGAUAGGAUGCAGGUGUAAAGACAGCGAUGUCAAAGCCGAGCAUUACUAAUUGCCCGAACACUUUCUUUAU
This 2785-nucleotide ribosomal RNA is filed under the name human gut metagenome. Its description in RNAcentral is "bacterial LSU rRNA". It matches the Rfam family "Bacterial large subunit ribosomal RNA". The record is from RNAcentral.